GCUGCGGCCAAGCUGGAGCCCCCGCCCACCAGGAUCGCGGCACUCUCUGAGGACAAAGUACUUCCGAGGAAGUCUUCCUCCCCUCUGGUCUUCCCUGCCUCCUGGCUGGGGACAAGGCUUGCAACCCUGCUGUAGGGCUGCAAGGCAGGGCUGCCAGGGUGAGGCUCAGAGGCUUGCUCAAGGCUACACAGCUGACAGGUGAGCCAUGACGAGGCCCCAGGUGACCUGGAGCAGGGCUCAGCGCUGCUCACAGCCCUUGCUCCAGAGUUACCAAAGCCAGAGGCGGGGUGGCCCUUGGGAACCUCCCUCUUUCUUCUCAAGACUCGCGUCUUGAUGCCUUCGGAGGGUCUGGCUCACUGUGGUUUUAAAUAGCCAUUCCUCUUUGCAGCAGCUUCUCCUUCACCCAAACCCAACACCUCUUCCAAGAAGUAUGGCCGGGCCCACGUCCAGCCUGCUGUCCGCCUGGCUCUGACUGAGACAGAUAUGCCCACAAUCCUUCUUUUUCUUUUUCUUUUUCCUUUUUCUUUCUUUUUUUUGUGUGUGAUAUGGAGUCUUGCUCUAUCACCCAGGCUGGAGUAUAGUGGCACAAUCUCGGCUCACUGCAUCCUCUGCCUCCCGGGUUCAAGCGAUCCUCCUGCCUCAGCCUCCUGAGUAGCUGGGAUUACAGGUGUGCAUCACCACGCCCGGCUAAUUUUUUUGUAUUUUUAGUAGAGAUGAGGUUUCACCAUGUUGGUCAGGCUGGUCUCAAACUCCUGACCUCAUGAUCCACCCACCUCGGCCUCCCAAAGUGCUGGGAUUAUAGGCAGGAGCCACCGUGCCCAGCCAAUCCUUCUUUUUCUUAAUCCUGAAUUUGAGAUUCUGGCCCAGGCACUUGUGAAAUCACGUCCUUUGUCUUGUUUUCCAGAGGACAGGCUCUGAUGAGUGGCCAGGACAGGCAGUGGCAGGAGGGCAAAGCUCGAAAUGCUGACCUGCCACCCACACCCACAACUGCCUGGGGAGUUAGGGGCUGACAUGGCCAGGGAGGGGCUGUGGGCCAGGAGGUGACCUGUAGGGCCCCACCUUGACUCCCUGACCCUGUCCUGCUGCUCUCACCCCCUUUGUAAAAGGCCAGAUCUUCACUUUGCCCCGAAAAGUACCAGUCUGGCUGCCCAUGGUCUUUCUGACAUGUUGUCUGUGCUACUGCAGGUAUUCUCUCUGGGAGGGGGUGGAUCGGAAUAGGAGAGACAGGAAAGGCCACCCGAGGGUGGGCCAGUGUGGGGAGUGUGAAGUGAGGCUCCUGGCAUGUGAAAUGGAGUCAGCAGAGUGAGCCGGCCUCCACUCAGUGAGCCGGGUCUCCCCCACAGCCGGCAUGUGCUGACCUCCUUCCAACUGCUCUACCAAGAGAGGGAGGACGCACCCAGCUGUCGGGAGGGCCAGAGAUGGAGGGCCCAACUACAAGGAUGCAAUGCACAAGACACACCUUCCACUUGGCACUAGAGAACCAAGGUGCUGCUAAGGGAAUGAGCCUUGUCACCUCCCACUGCCAGCUCGCCUUCAUGGGGUUCUGGCUUUACCAGCACAACCUCCAUUGCUCAGAAGGGAAAUAAGCAUCUAGAAAGGGACACGAGUUGUCCAGCUUCCUAGGAUGGGGCACCCUCGCUUGGGAAGCCCUAUGAAUCCUUCCCGUCUUCUCAGGAACAUUCUGUUUUCGCCUGAGCCCUAGGACCACGCAAUAUCACUGCAGGCAGAAUUUUCCUAGCAACCACAGAAUCCAAGAUUACAUCAUCCCCUGCACGGCAGCUGAGUUGGUUACCUAACAGAUGCCGACUUUUCCUGAGUGCUGCUUGCCCAGCUUGCUAAUCAGAAGGGGGCUGGCAAGAGUCUGUGAAAGGGGAGUUGUCAGCAGAAGAUGCCUUAGUGGCAGUGAUGGUGGCAGCCCGCUCACUCCUCUCCCUGCCUGCCCUGUGGCCUUUCGCUCAGGGACCUUGGGCCUCUGUAGUGAGCUGCAGGCACAAAAAUAGCCCUGGAUGCCCCAGGAGGGAAUGGUGCAUCUACAGAGGGAAUGGGCCAUUGGCUUCUCAGAGGAGCCCAGACCUGGGGACCAGGACUCCCGACUCCACAGCCUGCCCAGUGUGUGUGCCUGUCCUGCGCUCUGAGGGUGGGAAGGAAGUAAUCUUCUCCAGGUCACACAGGGACUCUGAUGGCUAUUUAACAAGACACUUGAAGCAAAGGAUUUGCAAGAGUCCUACCCUUCCCACACUGCCAGCUGCCACCCCCUUCCCUGGUGGCAUUUAUAGAGCCUCCCACUGUGCUGCUGGAGCCCUGCAGAGAGGAAAAGGCCUGAGGAGCUGCGGCCUGUCUGUGCUCUCUUCUGUUCCUUAAGGAUAUUAUCCAGGCUUUACCACAAGGAUCUGCUUUCCUUUGGGAUGAAAGAGAAGGCAGGCUCUCAGUUCUUCCAGAGCAUUCUCUGACCUACCCUUGUCACUGGUUGGCCAGAAAUUGACAAGGUGAUCCUAACAUUCAUAUGGGAAGGGAAGGGACCCAGAAUAUCCAACACCACCUUGAAAAAGAAGAAGUUGGACUCACACUUCCCAAUUUCAAAACUUACUACAAAGGCAAGGUCAACGAGACUGGGUGGUACUGGCAUAAGGACAGACAUAUAGAUCAGUGGAACAAAAAUGAGAGUUCAGAAAUAAACCCUCCAACUU
Molecule: long non-coding RNA, 2687 nt
Filed under: Homo sapiens (human)
Lineage: Eukaryota; Metazoa; Chordata; Mammalia; Primates; Hominidae
Description: HSALNT0290225
Source: RNAcentral